RNAcentral lists this ribosomal RNA (485 nucleotides) under uncultured bacterium. RNAcentral describes it as "partial 16S ribosomal RNA". It matches the Rfam family "Bacterial small subunit ribosomal RNA", at positions 28 to 507 of the family's 1533-position model. The record is from RNAcentral.
GAUGAACGCUGGCGGCGUGCUUAACACAUGCAAGUCGAACGGGAUCCAAGGGGUGCUUGCACUUUUUGGUGAGAGUGGCGAACGGGAGAGUCACACGUGAGUAACCUGUCCUUUUCUUUGGGAUAAGCAUUCGAAAGGGUGUUUAAUACCUUAUGUUCUGUCUGCCUCGCAUGGGGUGGGUGGGAAAGGCUUUGGCCGGAUUUGGGUGGGCUCGCGGUCUAUCAGCUUGUUGGUGGGGUGAUGGCUUACCAAGGCUUUGACGGGUAGCCGGCCUGAGAGGGUGGUCGGUCACAGUGGGACUGAGAUACGGCCCAGACUCCUGCGGGAGGCAGCAGUGGGGGAUAUUGCACAAUGGGCGAAAGCCUGAUGCAGCGACGCCGCGUGGGGGAUGAAGGCCAGCGGGUUGUAAACUUCUUUUGCUCUGAACAAGGCAUGCCAGUGUGUGUGUUGAGUGUAGGGGUUGAUUAGCGCCGGCUAACUACGUG